RNAcentral lists this ribosomal RNA (486 nucleotides) under uncultured bacterium. RNAcentral's name for it is "bacterial SSU rRNA". It matches the Rfam family "Bacterial small subunit ribosomal RNA", at positions 28 to 507 of the family's 1533-position model. The record is from RNAcentral.
GAUGAACGCUAGCUACAGGCUUAACACAUGCAAGUCGAGGGGCAGCACAGUGUAGCAAUACACGGGUGGCGACCGGCGCACGGGUGCGUAACGCGUAUCCAACCUUCCCGAUACUCUUGGAUAGCCUUCCGAAAGGGAGAUUAAUACAAGAUGGUGUUUCACUUUCGCAUGUUAUUGAAACUAAAGAUUUAUCGGUAUCGGAUGGGGAUGCGUGACAUUAGAUAGUAGGCGGGGUAACGGCCCACCUAGUCUACGAUGUCUAGGGGUUCUGAGAGGAAGGUCCCCCCACACUGGAACUGAGACACGGUCCAGACUCCUACGGGAGGCAGCAGUGAGGAAUAUUGGUCAAUGGUCGGAAGACUGAACCAGCCAAGUAGCGUGAAGGAUGAAGGUUCUAUGGAUUGUAAACUUCUUUUAUACGGGAAUAGAACCUCCACGUGUGGGAGCUUGUAUGUACCGUAUGAAUAAGCAUCGGCUAACUCCGUG